UGUAUGUGCAGCUAUGAGUUUCUGUCUCCAACUUGAUCGUCAAAUAUUUUUAUUGUUAGUAUUUUUGUUGUUAUUAGAUAAUAAAAUAUAAAAAAAUAAGACGUACGAUUAAAGUUGAACAUAAAAACUCAUGGUUACACUUAAA
RNAcentral lists this microRNA precursor (145 nucleotides) under Oryza rufipogon (brownbeard rice). Its description in RNAcentral is "MIR812 microRNA precursor family". It matches the Rfam family "MIR812 microRNA precursor family". The record is from Rfam by way of RNAcentral. Lineage: Eukaryota; Viridiplantae; Streptophyta; Magnoliopsida; Poales; Poaceae.